This 374-nucleotide long non-coding RNA is filed under the name Mytilus galloprovincialis (Mediterranean mussel). The record is from RNAcentral. Lineage: Eukaryota; Metazoa; Mollusca; Bivalvia; Mytilida; Mytilidae.
AAAUUACUGAUCUGCUGGCAUUAAAGGGAAAUAACUUUUGUUGAGUUAUUGUACACUAAAAAAUUAAUCAAUGAUACCAGGCUUCUGAUUUUGCCUACAAAAAAAUCAUGAAUACGACUUGAAUAAAAAAAAAAUGAAUUGCCAAAUUAGGAGGAAGUUGAAGGGCAUUUUACUGUAAUAGGACACAAAUUACAAAGGUUUUGCCAAAUACUGCUUAUAAGUUAUCUUGUGCUCCAUGGUAGAGAAUCCUUAGUACUUUGAACAAUGCAACGUUUGGCAAAACAGCUGUUAAUCUAUAAUUUUACCAUAUCAAUAAAAAUUCAUGUCAAAAUAAAAUUACUGACUACUGGACUGGUGAUACUUUCUUAAUUUAC